CUGUACACACACGGUCACUUUGCUCCCCGAGCCUCCCUAGCCCUUCCACACCGCUCGCACACGCGGUUUCAAGCAACAGCCCUGGACUCGCUCCCCACACCACGGGAGAGCGUAUUGUGUUUAAGCGGCAGAUCACGACACAGCAGCCCCUGCGCUGCCAUAUCUGCAUGGGACCCGCCCUGUCCGUGACGUCACGACAAGCAGCCCUUCCCUCCAGCCCACGCCCCGCCGCCACCGUCUCCUCCCUCCUCCCGCGACCUCCAGCCGGUCAGCCGGCGAACCGGCGGCCGGUGGGGGAAGUCACGUCGGCCUCUCCCUCCUUCCUCCCACUCCGACCCGUUGGGGCGGCGCGCGCGGCUUCCUAACUCUAGCCCUGCCCAGCGCCUGUCUGGCGGUCGGCUCAACCCCUGCGCCCUUCUGGAAGUAAUGGCUUCCCGUUACAGAGGAAACCGGUUCCUUUCAAAUCCACUUAUCUUUGUGAUGUAGCGCUGUGUGUGUGUGUGUGUGUGUGUGUGUGUGUGUCUAUUUGAUGCGGGCUCGGUGAGUCCAGGAGUUGAAAGAAAGAUUUCUUGGACUCUCAAGGUCUGGCAGUGGUGCUCUUUUAUUCAGAGAAUAGUAUGGAAUGGCAUGGGGAUAGGACCCAUGGGCAGUGAAGGGCUGCUGCAUGGGGACAGGACCCAUGGGCAGUGAAGAGCUGCUGCAGUGUGUUGAGAGUUGGGGCUAAAUUUAUAAGGCAUGGGUACCUGACUUAUUUCUACCACACAAAGAAAAGAUGACGUAAGAAGUCAUUAAAUGGUUUCAGUGCAGAUGGGGUCUGGUUACUGUGUGGUCUAUAACUUUAGAUGUGAAUCUGGUCAUAGAGAUGGGCAUGUAGGCCAGGACACCUUGGGCUUCUCUCCCUGGGGCAGCCUUGAUCUGUGGAUCAUAUUGAAUCAUAUUGAAACGCAUUAAGCAUCACGACUGCCAGCGAAAGCUGUUCCGUUCUUGAAAGUUCAGUUUCGUCCAUCGAAAAUUUCAUUCACGUUACUUUCAAUCUUUAGGUGUGCAAAAGCGUUUUGGAUGCUUUUUUCCCCAUCCCCUUUCUGGGACACGUGUUAUGGUGAACGAAGAAUCAGGACCCCUCUCCCCGGUCUAACAGGCAAAACUGGCAAGCAAGCCGCAUAGGCUUAGAGUCAGUGCAAAAUCUAGGCUGUACAGCGAGGCGGCCUUGGAGGUCAUCUUAAGCCUGUGUCAGA
This 1235-nucleotide long non-coding RNA is filed under the name Equus asinus (donkey). Its description in RNAcentral is "lncRNA (ENSEASG00005024261.1)". The record is from RNAcentral. Lineage: Eukaryota; Metazoa; Chordata; Mammalia; Perissodactyla; Equidae.